UACGUAGGCAGCGAGCGUUGUUCGGAAUUACUGGGCGUAAAGAGUGCGUAGGCGGUGCUCUAAGUUUGGUGUGAAAUCUCCCGGCUUAACUGGGAGGGUGCGCCGAAGACUGGAGUGCUUGAGUGUGGGAGAGGAAAGCGGAAUUCCUGGUGUAGCGGUGAAAUGCGUAGAUACCAGGAGGAACACCUGCGGUGUAGACGGCUUUCUGGACCACGACUGACGCUGAGGCACGAAAGCGUGGGUAGCAAACAGG
RNAcentral lists this ribosomal RNA (253 nucleotides) under uncultured bacterium. RNAcentral describes it as "partial 16S ribosomal RNA". It matches the Rfam family "Bacterial small subunit ribosomal RNA", at positions 524 to 776 of the family's 1533-position model. The record is from RNAcentral.